GCUGUUUGCCAAAAACAAAAAUAGAGUGUUCUGCUUACAAGGAUUCAAAAUGUGGACACGAAAAUAACAAGGAAGUACGGAUCGAAAGCAAAUCUUAUUCAGCGCCCAUUCAGCAGCACGCGACCGUUAAUGGGCUGGGCAAGUGAACUCGGACGGGCACGUCUUGCCGCAGUGGUCGAGGAGGAGCCUGAUGUCCACGUGCACGUCGAGGUGGAUGCCGAGGACGUUGGCCCUGACGGCGGUGCAGAGGCAGACGGCGGCAUCAAGGUCGACCAACCCCUGCAGCAGCGGGCAGCACUCGUCGCGCGCCGGAACGCCGACCUUGAGGUCGAGCAGGCCGCCGAGAACGUUGGCGCACACCCUCAGCUUCAGCGCGUCGAUGGAGCACUGCCCGACGUGGCCUCCGUGGUACGGCGGCGGAACGACAACGGGCGGCGUCGGCACGACGACUGGCGGCUGGCAAUAGGGUCCGCAGC
Molecule: long non-coding RNA, 476 nt
Filed under: Hordeum vulgare
Lineage: Eukaryota; Viridiplantae; Streptophyta; Magnoliopsida; Poales; Poaceae
Description: long non-coding RNA (HVUL_LNC011075)
Source: RNAcentral